This 72-nucleotide transfer RNA is filed under the name bacterium. RNAcentral describes it as "tRNA-Arg". It matches the Rfam family "tRNA". Rfam says of the family: Transfer RNA (tRNA) molecules are approximately 80 nucleotides in length. Their secondary structure includes four short double-helical elements and three loops (D, anti-codon, and T loops). The record is from RNAcentral.
GUCCCUGUCGUUCAACGGAUAGGACAAGGGUUUCCUAAACCCUAGAUACAGGUUCGAUUCCUGUCAGGGACA